RNAcentral lists this ribosomal RNA (253 nucleotides) under uncultured bacterium. Its description in RNAcentral is "partial 16S ribosomal RNA". It matches the Rfam family "Bacterial small subunit ribosomal RNA", at positions 524 to 776 of the family's 1533-position model. The record is from RNAcentral.
UACGUAGGGGGCUAGCGUUGUCCGGAAUCAUUGGGCGUAAAGAGCGUGUAGGCGGUCCGGUAAGUCCGCUGUGAAAGUCGGGGGCUCAACCCUCGAAUGCCGGUGGAUACUGUCGGGCUAGAGUGCGGAAGAGGAGAAUGGAAUUCCUGGUGUAGCGGUGAAAUGCGCAGAUAUCAGGAAGAACACCCGUGGCGAAGGCGGUUCUCUGGGACGGUACUGACGCUGAGGAGCGAAAGCGUGGGGAGCAAACAGG